RNAcentral lists this ribosomal RNA (253 nucleotides) under uncultured bacterium. Its description in RNAcentral is "partial 16S ribosomal RNA". It matches the Rfam family "Bacterial small subunit ribosomal RNA", at positions 524 to 776 of the family's 1533-position model. The record is from RNAcentral.
UACAGAGGUCCCAAGCGUUGUUCGGAUUUACUGGGCGUAAAGGGUGCGUAGGCGGUCGGAUAAGUCUGAUGGGAAAUCUCCGAGCUUAACUCGGAAAUGGCAUUGGAUACUAUUCGGCUGGAGAGUUGGAGGGGGGACUGGAAUACUUGGUGUAGCAGUGAAAUGCGUAGAUAUCAAGUGGAACACCAGUGGCGAAGGCGAGUCCCUGGACAACUUCUGACGCUGAGGCACGAAAGCUAGGGGAGCAAACAGG